GUUCUCAUUAAUGAAGAAAACUCUCUAUGUACUAGUUGGCACAUCCCUUUUGAAUUAAAGUCCUAAUUAAAAGGAAUGAAAAUCUAUACCCAUAUCGGUUCAUACAUAUUCACUACACACACCACCCCCCUCAAUUAUUUGGAUGCCAGUGAGGAGGUGAAUAAUGAGUGAGCCGAGAGUCAUCCUAACUCAUUGUAAAUCUCUAUGAAUCAAAUAAUGCCUCUUCGGAAUUGGAGUCUUAAUUCGGGGAGGGAGGAAUUUAAUAAAUACGUAAUAAAUUAAACAAACUCAAUCUCAACUCACUUUGGAAUCAUCUCAUUUACCCGUGUUUAUGAGAAAUCCAAAAUAGUGAAAAAUCAUGCGUUCCUAUAUUAAACCGAAGGAACCAACAUCGCAAUUUAAACCCCAAAAUUAUCAGUUUUAAAUUAUAAAGAGCACGUCAUUGAAUUUACUUGCCCUCGUUGAGAGACGAUAUAGGGUGCCUAACACUUUCCCCACACGUAUACGGACCCCAAACUUAGAAUAUCUAUUCUAGAAGUGGCAUUAAAAAAAAUUCAAAAUAAAAAAUGAUUUUCUUUAAUUUCUCCCAAAAUUAAAGUGGCGACUCCUCA
Molecule: unclassified non-coding RNA, 611 nt
Filed under: Hevea brasiliensis (rubber tree)
Lineage: Eukaryota; Viridiplantae; Streptophyta; Magnoliopsida; Malpighiales; Euphorbiaceae
Source: RNAcentral